Molecule: ribosomal RNA, 253 nt
Filed under: uncultured bacterium
Lineage: Bacteria
Description: partial 16S ribosomal RNA
Rfam family: Bacterial small subunit ribosomal RNA
Source: RNAcentral
UACAGAGGUCUCAAGCGUUGUUCGGAUUCAUUGGGCGUAAAGGGUGCGUAGGCGGCGUGGUAAGUCGGGUGUGAAAUCUCGGAGCCUAACUCCGAAACUGCAUUCGAUACUGCCGUGCUUGAGGACUGGAGAGGAGACUGGAAUUUACGGUGUAGCGGUGAAAUGCGUAGAUAUCGUAAGGAAGACCAGUGGCGAAGGCGGGUCUCUGGACAGUUCCUGACGCUGAGGCACGAAGGCCAGGGGAGCAAACGGG